CUGUGGCGGGGCGGUAUUGGGCCUAGGAUUUGGGAUCCCGCAAUGUUGCAGGCCUAGCGGGAAGGGACUGUGCGGGAGUGGGUUCUCAGCGGGACGGCCCAAACGAAACCGCGGUUGACCCUAAUGUCCCGCACCUGAAACAGAGAGAGAGAGAGAGUGAGAGGAAGACGAGUCGCCGCCACAAGAAAUGGAGCUCCGGCGACGGCAUAAGAUCCGGUACUUCUAUCUCGGCGAUAAGCUCCGGUACUUCUCGGCAAUAUGUAUUAUCGUUAGAAUACAAGGUGGUUUCCAUGACAAACUGUAUUUUUCCGGCAAGGACAAACUGUUUUGUUUUCGUUAGAAUACAAAGUGGUUUCCAUGAGAUUAGAAACUCGAUUCCUGACGUUGUAGCUGUUUCACGUCUUCUUAAUGCUACUCUAGUUAUCCCUGAGAUCCAAUCAACAACCAGCAGCAAAGGGAUUAGCAUAUUUGUAGAUUGUUGAGUUGAAAACUUUGCCCACGCUUGUAUUGAUGCUUCAGUCAGAAGAUCCAUCUGUGCAUGGCGAAGCGAUUGGGGCAAUUGGAAAUCUUGUCCACUCGUCUCCUGACAUCAAGAAAGAGGUUAUCCGCGCUGGUGGUGCCUUACAACCAGUCAUCAGUCUACUUAGCUCAACUUGUUUGGAGACACAGAGAGAAGCAGCAUUUGUUUCUUUUGAUUUGGUGUUUUGAGUUGCUGUUUUUUUCAAAGACUUUUAGUAUUAGCAGCUUUGAUUUGGUGUUUGGUUUUAUUUGAUAUCCUCUGACUUGCUGUUUGAUAUUCUAUUAUGGUUUUGUGUUUCAAUUCAAGUUCUCGUUUCUUAUAACAAGUUGCUGGUUCUUAUUUUACAUGUUACGUGUUUUAUUAUGGUUCUUAUUUUACAGUUUGGUAUUGCUCUCGUGAAAUGAGUUUGUUAUUAUGGUUCUUAUUUUACAGUUUGUUAUUUUAAAAAGACUUGUGUGAGACUGAGAGUUUACAAGACUAGCUUUGACAGAGCUAUUUUGUAUAUGUGUAUUUCUCUCAUUUUUCUUUCUCAAGUAACUACAACAUUGAUAAUUAAUCAAUUGAUAGUCUUAGUCUAACGUUAUACAAUUCAUAUUUUAUUCACCAAACAUUGCAACUUAAGAAUGUCGUAGUGGAAACUCUAUAAAGAUGGCUCCACAUUGCUUCAAUUUUUUGUAAGUCUACUCAUAUUUUGUUCACCCUAAUGCACUUAGGUAUGUUACUGGAGCAGGCUGGAGCGGCCUGCAGCGUCAAGAAGCAUACUGAGCGGCCUGCAGCAUCGAGAAGCGUCCUGCAGCACUACAUUAAUGUUGUCCUGCGGGUCGGCCCGUAAAGGAUUGUGCAUUUGGCGGGACGGGAUUGGGACAGAGCUUUUGGGACUGCAGCCCCCGCGGGCCGGACCCGCUUUGAACCGCUCGACGACGAUCCCGCUGCGGGACGGGACGGGAUGGGACGGGACGACCUCUUUGACAUUCCUAAUUAUAUUAAUCCAAAAUAUUAAUAGCAAGUAUUCUUUUCUUAAAUAAAAUAUACGAAAUUACCUAAUAUGAUUACAUAUUUAUGACAAUUAAUGAUUAUAGAUAAUAAAGAUUUGGUAACAA
Long non-coding RNA from Raphanus sativus (radish), 1620 nucleotides. RefSeq lists it as uncharacterized. Lineage: Eukaryota; Viridiplantae; Streptophyta; Magnoliopsida; Brassicales; Brassicaceae. The record is from RefSeq and is a predicted model, not a curated record. The transcript is spliced from 5 exons.